This 1205-nucleotide long non-coding RNA is filed under the name Callithrix jacchus (white-tufted-ear marmoset). RNAcentral describes it as "lncRNA (ENSCJAG00000067195.2)". Lineage: Eukaryota; Metazoa; Chordata; Mammalia; Primates; Cebidae. The record is from RNAcentral.
GCCUUUUUGACUUUAUACCAUAAAGUACACUUUCCUCAUAAGCACUAAAAACUAUUUGAAGCAUAAUUUUAUGGCUUCCUAAUACAUUUUGUACUUCUUAAUUUACAAUUUACCUAUUGUCAAACAAUAGUAUUAUUCAAAGUUUUGGGUUUUUUUUUUUUUUUUUUAAGUAUUAUAAGGCCCAGUGUGGUGGCUCACGCCUGUAAUCCCAGCACUUUGGGAGGCCAAGGCGGGUGGAUCACGAGGUCAAGAGAUCGAGACCAUCCUGGUCAACAUGGUGAAACCCCAUCUCUACUAAAAAAAAAAUACAAAAAAUUAGCUGGGCAUGGUGGUGCGUGCCUGUAAUCCCAGCUACUCAGGAGGCUGAGGCAGGAGAAUUGCCUGAACCCAGGAGGCAGAGGUUGCGGUGAGUCGAGAUCGCGCCAUUGCACUCCAGCCUGGGUAACAAGAGCGAAACUCCGUCUCAAAAACAACAACAACAACAAAAGUAUUAUAACCAAAGCUAUAUGAAGCACUUGUAUGUAAAUCUUUGCAUUUAUUAUUUCUUAACGUUGAUUUACAGGAGUGUUAUUAAAGGAUGAAAUUGUGCAGUGAAUAUCUGUUGAGUUUUCCUGACUCUCCUCCAUUUCCCCUUACUUUGGAGAAUCACACUGUAUCCCAAGGAGCUUGGAUAAAGCUGACUCCAUCCCUGGCUUCAAGGGAAAUUUCUUCAAUUCACCCUUGAGGAGUAGAGAUCUGAUAAGAAAAGGAAUGUCUUAUUUUGUCUCCCAGUCUGGAGUGCAGUAGUUCCAUCUCAGCUCACUACAACAUCUACCUCCUGGGUUCAAGAGAUUCUCUGGCCUCAGCCUCCCAAGUAGCUGGGAUUAAAAGUACCCACCACAACACCCCGCUAAUUUUUGUAUUUUUAAUUGAGACGGGGUUUCACCAUGUUAGCCAUGCUAGUCUUGAACUCCCAACCUCAGGUAUCUGCCUGCCUCAGCCUCUGAAAGUGCUGGGAUUACAGGCAUGAGCCACUGCACCUGGCCACUAGGACAUAACUUAAGGUCAGUGACCCCAUAGUAUCUAAUCCUGUGUCCUGAGCGCAGUGUAGUACCUGGACCCUGGUGAGUAGCAACAAUUACUUAUCUAAAUGAAUGAAUGAGGCCAGCUUGUUCUUGGAAAAACUGUAUGUCUAUUAUGCUGAAUUAUAGCUCUGUAUUAUUUUG